ACGUGAAACCNGUUNAGGGGNUAANCCUGAGAAACCCGAAAGGUCGAAGGGAGAAAUUCAUUCGCGGUUCGCUGUGGGCGUGAGACGUUCGAGUGACGGAAAACGUUCACGUUUUCCGCGCCUUUCGUUUUUCGAUCUCGCCGCGAACGCGUGCACUUUUCUCCUGGUAGGACGUCGCGAUCCGUUGGGUGUCGGUCUACGACUCGUGGAGGAGCCCGUUCGUACGGCUUGCCGUUACGAGCGGACCCGCGUGUUCCGGCUGACUCGCUCGACGGUAUACGAAAGGUUUAAGGCCGCUCUCGAAGCGUUCGGCUCGUCGCAAGCGCGUCAGAUGUGUCGGCGAUCGGACCUAGUGCCGGUUCUGACCUCUGGCGACUGUUGGCGACGAAGUUCUCGAACAGACUUUAGACCGAUCUGCGACGCUAUAGCUUUGGGUACUUUCAGGACCCGUCUUGAAACACGGACCAAGGAGUCUAGCAUGUGCGCGAGUCAUUGGGAAUAACUAAACCUAAAGGCGCAAUGAAAGUAAAGGUCCGCCUCGCGCGGACUGAGGGAAGACGGGCGGUUCACCCUUAAAAGUGGCCGCUCCGCACUCCCGGGGCGUCUCGUUCUCAUUGCGAGAAGAGGCGCACCAAGAGCGUACACGCUGGGACCCGAAAGAUGGUGAACUAUGCCUGGUCAGGACGAAGUCAGGGGAAACCCUGAUGGAGGUCCGUAGCGAUUCUGACGUGCAAAUCGAUCGUCGGAACUGGGUAUAGGGGCGAAAGACUAAUCGAACCAUCUA
RNAcentral lists this ribosomal RNA (784 nucleotides) under Airosimus jacobi. RNAcentral's name for it is "eukaryotic LSU rRNA". It matches the Rfam family "Eukaryotic large subunit ribosomal RNA", at positions 397 to 946 of the family's 3401-position model. The record is from RNAcentral. Lineage: Eukaryota; Metazoa; Arthropoda; Insecta; Coleoptera; Curculionidae.